GGUCAAGCUAGAAAGGGCGUACGGUGGAUGCCUGGGCGCCAGGAGGCCGAAGAAGGACGUGGCAAGCUGCGAAAAGCUACGGUGAGCCGCAAGC
This 94-nucleotide ribosomal RNA is filed under the name Desulfallas sp. Bu1-1. Its description in RNAcentral is "partial 23S ribosomal RNA". It matches the Rfam family "Bacterial large subunit ribosomal RNA", at positions 1 to 93 of the family's 2925-position model. Lineage: Bacteria; Bacillati; Bacillota; Clostridia; Eubacteriales; Desulfallaceae. The record is from RNAcentral.